RNAcentral lists this long non-coding RNA (1845 nucleotides) under Linum usitatissimum (flax). RNAcentral describes it as "long non-coding RNA (LUSI_LNC005451)". The record is from RNAcentral. Lineage: Eukaryota; Viridiplantae; Streptophyta; Magnoliopsida; Malpighiales; Linaceae.
CGGUAGAGUUUCCUUUGUGGGUGCGCUCCUCUGGAGCUCACCCGACACGCGAUCCUUGUCGAUUCGAAUGAUGCAAGAACCUUAUAGAAAUCCCGCCUCCGCCAUUUUCCGAUCCCCCACUUCCUACAACCUCUCUUCCACCCACUACUAACACUUCUUCUUCUAGGUCUUGGGCAUCUCUCCUGGAACGUAAGCCUUCUUUGAUGCGUGUGAAUCUGACGACAUACUUUUUGAUCGAUGGAGCCUUGAAAAUAUGCAACAAGUUAUUUGAUCUCGAUCUUGUGAGGAUGCAGGAACCCGUGGUUGCACAAUUUGUUGGCUCAAGCCCGGCAAUGCGUGUUUUAUCCUCAAUGGCAAACCGUCUAUGGGGUAUGAAGGUAGUACUACUAUAUCGAUAAUGUCUUCUGGUUUUCACCUACUAGAACUCCCUUCUAAAGAUCUAUGUGAUUGGGUACUGGGGCGUAUGUGGCAUAUUCAUCACUCCACAUUCGCUUUGAGACGAUGAACAAAAGGUAUUCAGCCUCUUGAUCUAUCACCAAAGGAGAAGCCGUUGUGGGUUACUAUUCAUUCUCUACCCCUAUAGUUGAUGCAUUCUGAAUGAAUAAGAUGGCUACUAGCUCAAAUUGGCUGGCCAAUUCGAAGUUAUGUGCAUACAUGGCUUAAUGUCAAGAUUUGCUUGCGUCUCUUUGCCGCCGCUGCCAGGAAUCGAUUGCUUUAAUUUUGGAGGAUGGUGAGCAUGUGAAGUUAAAUGUAAUUUGCCCAAUUAAUCGAUUGAAUGAAGCUCCUACACCGACUUGGAGGAAGAAAGUGAUUUAGAAUGAUAAAGAUCUGGAGGAUACCAUGUCAAAGAUUAAGAAGGAAGAUGUUGCAUAUGUAGUUAGCUUGCUAAGUGAUUUAUCUGAAACUUCAAUGCAAGCUGAGGAAAUCGUUGAAAUGGCUAUUCUGAAAACUCCUGUCAUUGAUAACUUGGCAAUGGAUCUGCAUAAUAACGUUGAGGUGCUUGAAAGGGUUUUGGAAUUAGUUCAGGAGGAUAUUAUUUAAGUUAUAGCUGAGGAAUAUGAGAAGGCUAUUACAAUGCAAGAAAGUAGCAAGACUAUGAAACAGGGAUUUGGUUCAGCUCAAGAGAAUAGCAAAGUGGAAAUAACUGAAUUGGAAGACUCAGUGAAGCAAGGUCAAAGAAGUAGGAAGUACAUGCAACUCCAUCUCAUAAACAAUCAAAUAAUGAAGAUUAAGAGGAUGAUGCAAAGCAACCAACCCAGUUACUUUUGGUCAUUUUCUCCCCUGUGGCGGAAGUGUUAAGAAUAAAAGAGGUAAGUUGGUGGGUAGAGGUUGUAGUGGAAGGAAUUCUCGUAAAUGAAGUUUUGGAUAUGGAAUAUUAGAGGUUUUUAUAAAGAGAGUAGAUAUAUAGUGUUAAAAGUCGUACUUAUAGAAAUAUAAUAUAGACAUUUGUGCUAUACUAGAACCUAGAAUUAAGCGGGUGCAUAUGGAUGAAUUUGUUGUCUCUCGUUUCUAUGGAUGGCUCUCUAAGUAGUGUUAUGAUGGGGAUCAUGCUAAGAUUUGGCUUGUCUAGAAAAAGAAUAUUCCUCUCACAAUUGUAUGGUCUUCAAGUUAGUGUAUACAUGUGUUGAUUGAUUUACCUUCUCCCCUAUUCUGCACCUUCUUUUAUGCUUCAAAUUAUGGAGAGAUGAAGAACUCUCUAUGAGGAUAUUGGAAGGAUUAAGACGAAUAGGAUUUCAUGAAUUAUUGCAUGGGACUUCAUUGCCAUUAUAAGACUAUCAUAAGCUUCUAAUGCUCCGAAAAAUGGGUCUUCUAUGGUGGAUUUUCAAAAUUUUGUUGAAGAUUGCG